This 434-nucleotide long non-coding RNA is filed under the name Fukomys damarensis (Damara mole-rat). RNAcentral describes it as "lncRNA (ENSFDAG00000026745.1)". Lineage: Eukaryota; Metazoa; Chordata; Mammalia; Rodentia; Bathyergidae. The record is from RNAcentral.
CUUGAUUUAUUUUCUCAAACAAAGCACGCAUUCUCUCUGCAGAGGACGGCCGAGUGGCACUGACUGUGUUACGUAUCAGGCAAGCGACUAGCCCCUUUAACAGCGGGGUGCAGCUCUGUGAGACGCCCCAGGACUUUCCAGGCGCCCUCCUUCCUGAGCAUCUGCAGGAGCUCUGCGGUGGCUGCCUCGAUGUCCUGAGUGGAUCCUCACACUGACCGUCCGGCCACUUUGUCUCUGAGGUGGAGCCGGACGUCACACGGUGCCAGACCCGGGGAAGAGCGUUGAAGACACAGCGCUGUGUUUUCAUCGGACAGACAGUGCCAUAGGUGGCUGACCAACACAGGACGUCACGGAAGAUGGUGAGUGCUCACAUUUAAAGACGUGCUACAGGACAAGGACCCGUUGCCACGGACCCCUGUCUAAAUCCUCCCCAA